UACGUAGGGUGCAAGCGUUGCCCGGAUUUAUUGGGCGUAAAGGGCGCGUAGGCGGCUACGCACGUCCGUUGUGAAAUCGCCCGGCUCAACUGGGCGGGGUCGGCGGAUACGGCGUGGCUGGAGCAAGCUGGGGGGCAGUGGAAUUCCCGGUGUAGUGGUGGAAUGCGUAGAUAUCGGGAGGAACACCAGUGGCGAGGGCGGCUGCCUGGGGCUUUGCUGACGCUGAUGCGCGAAAGCGUGGGGAGCGAUCCGG
This 253-nucleotide ribosomal RNA is filed under the name uncultured bacterium. RNAcentral describes it as "partial 16S ribosomal RNA". It matches the Rfam family "Bacterial small subunit ribosomal RNA", at positions 524 to 776 of the family's 1533-position model. The record is from RNAcentral.